This 406-nucleotide ribosomal RNA is filed under the name uncultured bacterium. RNAcentral describes it as "partial 16S ribosomal RNA". It matches the Rfam family "Bacterial small subunit ribosomal RNA", at positions 30 to 526 of the family's 1533-position model. The record is from RNAcentral.
AUUGAACGCUGGCGGCAUGCCUAACACAUGCAAGUCGAACGAGUGGCGGACGGGUGAGUAAUGUCUGGGAAACUGCCUGAUGGAGGGGGAUAACUCCUGGAAACGGUAGCUAAUACCGCAUACCAUCGGAUUUGCCCAGAUGGGAUUAGCUAGUAGGUGGGGUAAAGGCUCACCUAGGCGACGAUCCCUAGCUGGUCUGAGAGGAUGACCAGCCACACUGGAACUGAGACACGGUCCAGACUCCUACGGGAGGCAGCAGUGGGGAAUAUUGCGCAAUGGGCGAAAGCCUGAUGCAGCCAUGCCGCGUGUAUGAAGAAGGCCUUCGGGUUGUAAAGUACUGUCAGCGGGGAAGCGUUACCCGCACAGGAAGCACCGGCUAACUCCGUGCCAGCAGCCGCGGUAAUAC